Molecule: ribosomal RNA, 497 nt
Filed under: uncultured bacterium
Lineage: Bacteria
Description: partial 16S ribosomal RNA
Rfam family: Bacterial small subunit ribosomal RNA
Source: RNAcentral
GAUGAACGCUGGCGGCGUGCCUAAUACAUGCAAGUCGAGCGAACAGAUGAGGAGCUUGCUCCUCUGACGUUAGCGGCGGACGGGUGAGUAACACGUGGAUAACCUACCUAUAAGACUGGGAUAACUUCGGGAAACCGGAGCUAAUACCGGAUAAUAUAUUGAACCGCAUGGUUCAAUAGUGAAAGACGGUUUUGCUGUCACUUAUAGAUGGAUCCGCGCCGCAUUAGCUAGUUGGUAAGGUAACGGCUUACCAAGGCAACGAUGCGUAGCCGACCUGAGAGGGUGAUCGGCCACACUGGAACUGAGGCACGGUCCAGACUCCUACGGGAGGCAGCAGUAGGGAAUCUUCCGCAAUGGGCGAAAGCCCGACGGAGCAACGCCGCGUGAGUGAUGAAGGUCUUCGGAUCGUAAAACUCUGUUAUUGGGGAAGAACAAAUGUGUAAGUAACUAUGCACGUCUUGACGGUACCUAAUCAGAAAGCCACGGCUAACUACGUG